UACGUAGGUGGCAAGCGUUGUUCGGAAUUAUUGGGCGUAAAGGGCGCGUAGGCGGUUUGUUAAGUCGGCUGUGAAAGCCCGGGGCUCAACCCCGGAGGGUCAGCCGAUACUGGCAGACUAGAGUACGGAAGAGGUAGCUGGAAUUCCCGGUGUAGCAGUGAAAUGCGUAGAUAUCAGGAGGAACACCGGUGGCGAAGGCGGGUCUCUGGGCCGAUACUGACGCUGAGGAGCGAAAGCGUGGGGAGCG
This 247-nucleotide ribosomal RNA is filed under the name uncultured prokaryote. RNAcentral describes it as "partial 16S ribosomal RNA". It matches the Rfam family "Bacterial small subunit ribosomal RNA", at positions 524 to 770 of the family's 1533-position model. The record is from RNAcentral.